This 275-nucleotide non-coding RNA is filed under the name Oceanobacillus iheyensis HTE831. The record is from RNAcentral. Lineage: Bacteria; Bacillati; Bacillota; Bacilli; Caryophanales; Bacillaceae.
GUUAUGUGUGCCCGGCAUGGGUGCAGUCUAUAGGGUGAGAGUCCCGAACUGUGAAGGCAGAAGUAACAGUUAGCCUAACGCAAGGGUGUCCGUGGAAACAUGGAAUCUGAAGGAAGCGGACGGCAAACCUUCGGUCUGAGGAACACGAACUUCAUAUGAGGCUAGGUAUCAAUGGAUGAGUUUGCAUAACAAAACAAAGUCCUUUCUGCCAAAGUUGGUACAGAGUAAAUGAAGCAGAUUGAUGAAGGGAAAGACUGCAUUCUUACCCGGGGAUC